Molecule: ribosomal RNA, 253 nt
Filed under: uncultured prokaryote
Description: partial 16S ribosomal RNA
Rfam family: Bacterial small subunit ribosomal RNA
Source: RNAcentral
ACGGAGGGGGCUAGCGUUGUUCGGAAUUACUGGGCGUAAAGCGCACGUAGGCGGCUUUGUAAGUUAGAGGUGAAAGCCCGGGGCUCAACUCCGGAAUUGCCUUUAAGACUGCAUCGCUAGAAUUGUGGAGAGGUAAGUGGAAUUCCGAGUGUAGAGGUGAAAUUCGUAGAUAUUCGGAAGAGCACCAGUGGCGAAGGCGGCUUACUGGUCCGGUUCUGACGCUGAGGCGCGAAAGCGUGGGGAGCAAACAGGA